GCACAGCAGUAACGCUUCUUGAUAUAUUAAGAAUUUUCGACAGCGAAACAUGACAGCGUCAAGAUGUCUUGCUCUGUUCGUUGUUACAAUCAUGCAUAGAUGAUAGGUGUAGGAACUAAUCCCAGUGUUACAUUGAGUGUAAAAAUACAUCAAUCCAUGCAGGGCCAGCUCCUGUGUGCAGCAACGACGCUUGACAGGAACAUGCACUCCGCUAAACCAUCUCCAACUUGCAGUGCUUUGCUAUCAGCUAUCAGCAUCCGGUGUACCUGACAGAAAUGAGAAAUGCGGUGCCGACUUCCGUCGUCGUUGCUGCACUAGGCAUGCAUCUUUGAGACCUUCUCGGA
Molecule: long non-coding RNA, 344 nt
Filed under: Triticum aestivum (bread wheat)
Lineage: Eukaryota; Viridiplantae; Streptophyta; Magnoliopsida; Poales; Poaceae
Description: long non-coding RNA (TAES_LNC015127)
Source: RNAcentral